Molecule: non-coding RNA, 460 nt
Organism: Drosophila suzukii
Lineage: Eukaryota; Metazoa; Arthropoda; Insecta; Diptera; Drosophilidae
Source: RefSeq, a predicted model, not a curated record
CCUCGCUGCAACAACGGCCUUGCAGCUGGCCAAAACAUUGAAGAAAUGUCCCAGGAUGCCAUCGGUUAUGUUGUGGGCUUCGAGGGGUGAAACCGAAACCUCAGCGCUCCCUCCCAUCCUAAGCAGCCGUUAAUUUUGCUCCCAGGAAGGGGACUCAUAACGCCCGAUAUAAAUUGGAUUUUAGGAUGUCUGCUUCUUUCGGUCCCUACCUAGGAGUUCUCUCUUCAGCCGAUCCAAAUCUCCGUGGGAUUCACAAGUAUCAGCAAUACAAUUGCGAUUAUGUUCGCAUUAUUCUAUUGUUCUUGUUUCAUAUAACGAUCAUACAAAAAUGAAUAAAAUAAGGAUGAGAAAUCGAUCGCAGUGAAUUCAGGUCCUUGCGACAAUAAAUACGUAUUACAAAUAUAAUUCAAGUGAAUAGAUAAAUAUGGUGUAAUUAAUACAAUAAAUAUGUUAUUUCUAU